UUUUCAUUAGCCUCAUUAUUUAUCAGCAAGCAGUGAGUGACCUUUGGUACAAGCCUGGAUCAAGCAAGGGGAAGCAUGGAACUGAGCAGGAGUCCACAUUGACACUGUGACGCUUGGCACUACUGGGAGGACCGACCAGGCCCCAGCAGCCCAGCACUGACACAAAAGAACAGGACCUUGGUAACUUGUGCAAGGAAAAGAAGACGAAGAGUUUGAACUGAGACCUGCAUCUUCUUCCUCCCUCCCAAAUCAGAGCUGCUCUACAAGGAGAAGAUGCCACAGAAUGUCAUAAUGGAAGAAACCAAACUGAAAAAGGGAAAAGAAAGCUUGUUCUUUUUUUUUCCCCCAAAUGAAGUUCAGUGCUUUUGCCUAUUAAAGUAAACCAAAUAUGUUUCUCUCAAAAAAAUUAAUGCCAAAAGGCAAGAUGCCAACCACAGUGAACAGAUAAAUCACUGUUCAAGGGUAUUUUUUCCCUUUCUUUUUCCCCUUAUUUUUAUUUUUUUCCCUCUUCUGACAACAAACUUCCAACAAGUAAACACAACACUUACUCCCCACCUUUUGAUUUUAACUCCAAACUGUCAACUUUUGGAAGAAAGCCGUGUGGGAUUUUUUUUUUGGGGGGGAGGGGGAAGAAAACAUGAUGAAACAAAUUCUAACCUCUUCAUCAAAAAUCAGAACCAAACCAUUAUACCACAAACCACAUAUAACUUCUAAUUGUAAUUCAUUUAUUACUAAGGUCACUGUAAACUAACUGGGAAUGUGUAAACAGAAAUGAAUCACGGGUUUCAUUUGUGUGUACUUUUCAAACUGGAAGACCUAACAGUUUCAUGUUCCAACAUACGAAAGAGAAUUACUCCUAUAAACCUACUCAGCGCUCUCUGCCAGCGCUUUCCAUUUAAUUAAACUGACAGCAAAACAGGGCUCUUACUAAUUUGAUCCAGACCAAUUUUCCUUCAAUGUAAAUUCUCAGGCAUGA
This is a non-coding RNA of Phascolarctos cinereus (koala), 976 nucleotides long. The record is from RefSeq and is a predicted model, not a curated record. NCBI's taxonomy places the organism in Eukaryota, Metazoa, Chordata, Mammalia, Diprotodontia, Phascolarctidae.